Molecule: ribosomal RNA, 411 nt
Filed under: Bacillus zhangzhouensis
Lineage: Bacteria; Bacillati; Bacillota; Bacilli; Caryophanales; Bacillaceae
Description: bacterial SSU rRNA
Rfam family: Bacterial small subunit ribosomal RNA
Source: RNAcentral
GUCUGACGGAGCACGCCGCGUGAGUGAUGAAGGUUUUCGGAUCGUAAAGCUCUGUUGUUAGGGAAGAACAAGUGCGAGAGUAACUGCUCGCACCUUGACGGUACCUAACCAGAAAGCCACGGCUAACUACGUGCCAGCAGCCGCGGUAAUACGUAGGUGGCAAGCGUUGUCCGGAAUUAUUGGGCGUAAAGGGCUCGCAGGCGGUUUCUUAAGUCUGAUGUGAAAGCCCCCGGCUCAACCGGGGAGGGUCAUUGGAAACUGGGAAACUUGAGUGCAGAAGAGGAGAGUGGAAUUCCACGUGUAGCGGUGAAAUGCGUAGAGAUGUGGAGGAACACCAGUGGCGAAGGCGACUCUCUGGUCUGUAACUGACGCUGAGGAGCGAAAGCGUGGGGAGCGAACAGGAUUAGAUAC